This is a long non-coding RNA of Lagopus muta (rock ptarmigan), 4816 nucleotides long. RefSeq lists it as uncharacterized. Lineage: Eukaryota; Metazoa; Chordata; Aves; Galliformes; Phasianidae. The record is from RefSeq and is a predicted model, not a curated record. The transcript is spliced from 3 exons.
CUGCUGGUGUUUUGUGAGUGAGCCCAGGAUAGGGGGAGAAAUCAAAUGGAAUCCAGCAGUUUCUGUGCGUCAUACAUCUACUAGAAUGAAUCUAAAUGACAAAACAGAAGAAAAUGCUGGAAGUUGAACAUCUAUGCGCAAACUGGAGGAAACCACUCUUUCCCACUGGGAACUGAGAUCUGUGUGCUUUGCCAAAGUGGUCCUUUGAAUCCAGAGAAUCCUAACGGUUAGAAUACAACUGUGAGUUGAGAGCAAGUGGACUGAAGUUAUCUUCUAUUAAAUAGUAUUUGAAUCUGGAUAACCUAGACCUAGGCAUCCUAGAUUCAGAUAGGGUUGAAUUCAAUAGACUGAAUCUUCUUUACAAGGGAAGGAGCCACUGCAAUUCCUUCUGAUGAACGUAUUCCAACUGACUCUCAAAAAAACAGCAUCCAGUAGAAAGCUUUGUGGGUUUCGAGAUGCAGAGAAAUUAAAUUCUUAUCUCUACUAUCAUCGUUGUCCCUACUAAAAAGACAUAUGUGGAUCUACAAUGCAGCAAGCACAACUCAAUAGGAAGACUGAAGGCUUAAGUUUACAGAAAUUUCUAUAAAAAGAAAAAGCUUUUUCUCCACAGAAAAAUAUUGAAGUUGCAUAAUACACGCUACAUUUCAGUCCAGAAGGCUUGACCAGAUCUUGGUGAUAUUUCUGUGCCAUCUGAGAAACAAGAAGCAAAGUCUGGGAAUGCAGUGAAUAACCACAGAAGUUUCCCUGGUUUGAGCAACUUUGUUAUGAAUCUGAAAUGUUCUCAGGAAUAGGGCAAAAUCUAGCAAAACUAGAGAAAUUGCUGCAACACAAUCAUGUUGUAGCUCCAAGGCUUGAAGCUGCUACAAUGGCCCCAGGGAAGGAGUUUAGGGGAGAGAAGAUUAGAGCUGACCAUGUGAGAAACUUGGUCCACCAGUGAAAGUCAUCCAAAGGGCAGGACUUUUCCAGGCUUCUAUCGUCAUAUAGUGACAACUCAUACAAACUUUUGGUUGAGGAAAUUACCUUGGUCUUCUGAAAUACCCACCCAGUACUUAAAAUGUGUAAUAGCCUGGACACUGAGCUCUACAAGUUAUUGUGGUAAAACUAAAUGACUAUCAGAUCACGUUUUUAGAUUUACGCUUAUGGACUACAUUUUUCUCUGGUGAUCUGAAGUCACUCCUGACAAGGCACAUUUGCAUAGCUUUUGGCGUGACUUCUCCCCACUGAAAGGGAAAAAUGAUUUAUUUUUCCUUGCUAAUUACAGCAUUAACUAUACUUAAAAUCAAGGAAAGGAAACAGGCUGAAGAACUGGCCCUAAACUACAUGUGGAAGGUAGGAUGCCAGGAAGCAUUGAAACACAUGGAAGUUCUGUUUUCUUAAGAAAGGCAGCGACUGUGAAUGCUUGAGGACAUCUCCACUGGGUGGUAAAGCUGACAGCAGAAAAUCAAAGAAAUCUUAGUGCUAAGGCAACAGUUUAACAGAAAAUAUAUGUCAGCUCUCCAUGCCCAAUGCAGAUUAUCGCUCAGAUAAGACUGUGAUAGAGGUUAAGAGUUCUUUCCCAGUACAGUGUUGAUACUGCAAAGCUUUAAUCUGUUGUUCUUUAGCUUUUUGGAUCUCUUGCUUCAGAACACAAACACUAACAAUUUGACAAAAGCUGUGUUUGCACAUUACGUCCACUUUCAAUCUAGCAUUUCAAGUUCAAGUUUAGACAUACGAGCACGCAAAGCAAAAUGAAGUGGAAAGCUAUGAUUUUAAUGGGGAUUUAAUCUCUUUUGUUCUUUGACCUUUUGUGGCUCUCAGAAUACAUCAACACUUCUGUCGCAUGAAUUGUCUUGUUGGCAUAGAACGUGCUGAUGCAGCCAAGCAGGCAUUCAAGUGCGAUGAGAAGUUUUAAGUUUUUACAGCAUUUUGCACUCUAUCUAGCAGUAGGUACUCCAUGCACUGCCUUGCAUGGUAUAAAUCCUGUGCAUCAGCACAGGCCUCAGCUGAGAUCCCUUGCACUGUGAUCCCUGCAACUGGAUGGAGAGAGCCUCAGUUGGAAAGCAACUGUAGGAAGCAGCUGCUCAGUGCAUUGGUUCUGGGGGAGCACCAAGCCUACUGAGCAUCUUCUCUGUAAAAGGCCAAAGGCAGAAUGAUACUUGAGCAAGUGCUCAAUCAGCAUCUCAAAACAAAACCUUUUCAAGUCUGAUUAUUAAGAAAAUAACACGCUGCAUUUUUAGUGCAUGUAAUGGGCAUUUUUUACAGCUUAAUUGGCGUAUUUUAUUUCCCCUUUCCUUUUAUGCUCCAAAGCCUGUUCAGCUAAGUGGAGCAUCUACAGCGUAAGUACUGUUCACCUACAGUGGAAAUCUCCUAGGUAAAAGUGUAGAAAAAACUGAGUCACUAGGAAAGGAACCCACCACAGAAGCAAUAAGCUGGAGACAGCAGCCUCCAUGUGUGGUUAGCUGUGUGAUGACAAGUCUUAUAUUCCCUGAGGCCAGACUCUUCAAAAGAACUGUGCUUCUGGGAUUUCUCAUCACAGGCUGUAUCCCACUCAUGCCCUCCUCUCAAAAAUUCAGCUAUGACUUAAUGAUACACUCCAAAUAAAUGAGAUUUCCUUCAGGCAGUUGUGAAUCCAAGCUGCAAUAGCUAUUCUGGAUAGCAGCAGAUAUAUCAGAUGUAAUAGGAACAUUAUAUGGAAGAAAAAGCUCUGAAGAUAAAAAGAGAUUACUUUCGUAUUAGGAAGCUAAGAGAUAGAACCAGUGCUUCACAUCAUUGAAGAUCACCAAAUGAAAAGUAGAUGAGUACUUACAGACUAUAAAAAAGACCUGCAGCUUGUAAGAUUCAAGUGCAAUAUAAAAGCACGUGUGUCAUCUUGGGAGUUUUUCAUUUAAGUGCAUCAGAUCCAGAGGGAGGAGGAUAAGUCAAACCUAUUGCAUGGAGAGAAUCAGCGUGAUUCAGGAGUAUCCUGGGAGUAGAAACCUAGAGAGCUUUCUGAGUUCAGUAGUAUUCAUGUUAUAGGCAGAGACCUGUGCAGGAGAGUUACCAAUGUGAUGGUGAAAAGAGGGAGCAGAAUGAAUCUGGGGAGAGAUCUGCUACUGCCCUGUGGGUCUGAGCAUCAAAUCGAUGAUAAAACGCUUCAGGUUCUUUCCUCACAUGGUGAAAUUCUUAAGGAUAGAUCUUGUCAUGGUUAGCAGGAUAAAUUCUUUCAUUCUCCUUCAGCACGGUGCUUUCAUCAGGCAGCUCUAGCUCCCCUUUCCGUACCAUCAGUUCCCAUGUUUACUGCAGCUAUGCCACAGCUGUCUUCAGAGCACCCUUCAGUCAGUUCUCAUUUUCACUUUUUGACUGAAUGUUUCUUUCUUCCAGACAUCUUGAGGCAUGAAAAAAAUUACAUGGCCAGAAAUGACCCUGCCUUAGGAAUGUGAUAUAUACACGUCCAUCUGAAAAUUAAGAUGUAUGACUUGCUGUUGUUUCGGAAUUCCCAGGGCAGAGGAGCUUGCUGGGCUGCCAGCUUUUGCCAUCUGUCAGGCAUAGUUCUCACACUUCAUGAGGCUGGCUUUCACACUGGUGCUAUUUUUCUCAACAGUUAAUAAAUCCUAACCAAAUCUCAAAGUGCUUCACAUAGCUAGCUGAAGAAUACCUCCGAUAAGGCGCUCUUGUGGAGCUUAAUAGACAUCCAAGGAAUGCCAUGACAGAUUUUCAAUUGAAGGAAAUACAGAUAAUGCUUCUUGGCAGUGAAUUCUGAAACUGUGUGAUUAAAUAAGUGAAUGUACUGCAGAAAGCCAAAAAAGAAAAUAUUAAAAUAGAACUUUUUUUUUUUUUUGAGAAAUUCAGCCACCUAUUUCAAGAUGUGAUUUAAUUAAGUAAUUGAAUCUUUACAGCUAGUGCUGAAUGCAGAUAGUACAGUGCAGCACAGUGGCAAAAAAAUAUAUAUAUAUAUCUGGCUUUCAUGUGCAUUUCUUCAAGAAUCACAAAAUUUGUGGAACAGCUUAUGGAAAACUACCAUUAGGUUCUAGAAGAUUGCCAUCCAUUUUCAUUUUUUUCUUUCACUGGAGACUGCUUUGUUGAACCAUCUUCAUAUAUAGGAACACAUGGGAUUCCCUUCUGUGUCACACCCAUAGGUCAUCCAGCAGUACAUCUUAGGCUGUGGCAAUGUGAGACGAACACAUGAGCCAAGGGUCCCUUUCCCUUGGAUUGCUCAGAAUUCAGAAUUGUUGUGUUAGGAAUGUUAUAGGAUUCAGGCUUGCCUAGUCUUUAUGAAGCCCAUAUAUAGAGACUUGCUGUUCUCACAAGUCUCUCAUGGCAUCAAGUUCAAGCAGCCCAGCUCCUGAUGUGUAAAUAGCUUUAUUUUCUCUCUUUGAAAGAGAAACUGGUUUCAUUGGGUACUUCACAACUCCUGUAUUGCAGGAUUUGCUGAAGAAUUGCACCUUCUGUGCUCACCCAAUUGCUCAUCUUCAUGAUUUUGUAAACCUGAAUUACCAAUAUCUCCAACCUUCUCUUCUCCAAACUAAAGAAAUCCGUCUCUCCUUACAAGACAGCCUUUUCAGUCGCUGAUCAUUUCACUUGCUCCUCUCUACUGACUUUGACUUUUGGAGAAGAGGAGAACAGGCUGCACACACAAUCCAAGAUGCAGUCUCUCCAAAGUUUAAAUAGUGCCCAAGUCUUUAUGUAACCAAUACUGAAGCUCAUCUGCCAGGUUUGACCUAUUCCGUCUCAUGAGGCUCUUCUAGAGUUCUUCACCAUUUGUUGUUGUUCAUACACUGUGAAAACUCAUUUCUUUAACACUGUCAUUUUGAAAUACAGUUCAGGUAUUUUCUGACAGAUCAAGAGGAGAAAGUUCUAC